UACGUAGGGGGCGAGCGUUGUUCGGAUUUACUGGGCGUAAAGGGCGCGCAGGCGGCUCAUUUUGUCAGGCGUGAAAGCCCCGGGCUUAACCUGGGAACUGCGUUUGAUACGGAUGGGCUAGAGUUCGGGAGAGGAGAGUGGAAUUCCCAGUGUAGAGGUGAAAUUCGUAGAUAUUGGGAAGAACACCGGUGGCGAAGGCGGCUCUCUGGACCGAGACUGACGCUGAGGCGCGAAAGCGUGGGGAGCAAACAGG
RNAcentral lists this ribosomal RNA (253 nucleotides) under uncultured bacterium. RNAcentral describes it as "partial 16S ribosomal RNA". It matches the Rfam family "Bacterial small subunit ribosomal RNA", at positions 524 to 776 of the family's 1533-position model. The record is from RNAcentral.